Molecule: ribosomal RNA, 465 nt
Filed under: Vreelandella stevensii
Lineage: Bacteria; Pseudomonadati; Pseudomonadota; Gammaproteobacteria; Oceanospirillales; Halomonadaceae
Description: partial 16S ribosomal RNA
Rfam family: Bacterial small subunit ribosomal RNA
Source: RNAcentral
CCUACGGGGGGCAGCAGUGGGGAAUAUUGGACAAUGGGGGCAACCCUGAUCCAGCCAUGCCGCAUGUGUGAAGAAGGCCCUCGGGUUGUAAAGCACUUUCAGUGAGGAAGAACGCCUGGUGGUUAAUACCCAUCAGGAAAGACAUCACUCACAGAAGAAGCACCGGCUAACUCCGUGCCAGCAGCCGCGGUAAUACGGAGGGUGCGAGCGUUAAUCGGAAUUACUGGGCGUAAAGCGCGCGUAGGUGGCUUGAUAAGCCGGUUGUGAAAGCCCCGGGCUCAACCUGGGAACGGCAUCCGGAACUGUCAAGCUAGAGUGCAGGAGAGGAAGGUAGAAUUCCCGGUGUAGCGGUGAAAUGCGUAGAGAUCGGGAGGAAUACCAGUGGCGAAGGCGGCCUUCUGGACUGACACUGACACUGAGGUGCGAAAGCGUGGGUAGCAAACAGGAUUAGAUACCCUAGUAGUC